CCUACGGGAGGCAGCAGUGAGGAAUAUUGGUCAAUGGGCGAGAGCCUGAACCAGCCAAGUCGCGUGAGGGAGUACUGCCCUAUGGGUUGUAAACCUCUUUUGUCGGGGAGCAAAAGCCGGACGUGUCCGGCUGUGAGAGUACCCGAAGAAAAAGCAUCGGCUAACUCCGUGCCAGCAGCCGCGGUAAUACGGAGGAUGCGAGCGUUAUCCGGAUUUAUUGGGGUUAAAGGGUGCGCAGGCGGAUUUUUAAGUCAGCGGUCAAAUCGUGGGGCUCAACCCCAUCCAGCCGUUGAAACUGGGGAUCUAGAGUGUGCGAGAGGUAUGCGGAAUGCGUGGUGUAGCGGUGAAAUGCAUAGAUACCACGCAGAACCCCGAUUGCGAAGGCAGCAUACCGGUGCACAACUGACGCUCAGGCACGAAAGCGUGGGUAUCGAACAGGAUUAGAUACCCCAGUAGUC
RNAcentral lists this ribosomal RNA (458 nucleotides) under uncultured bacterium. RNAcentral's name for it is "partial 16S ribosomal RNA". It matches the Rfam family "Bacterial small subunit ribosomal RNA", at positions 338 to 795 of the family's 1533-position model. The record is from RNAcentral.